RNAcentral lists this ribosomal RNA (450 nucleotides) under uncultured bacterium. Its description in RNAcentral is "bacterial SSU rRNA". It matches the Rfam family "Bacterial small subunit ribosomal RNA", at positions 354 to 796 of the family's 1533-position model. The record is from RNAcentral.
GUGAGGAAUUUUGCGCAAUGGGCGAAAGCCUGACGCAGCAACGCCGCGUGGAUGAUGAAGGCCUUCGGGUCGUAAAAUCCUGUCAAGUGGGAAGAACUCCUCCUGGUGAAUAGCCGGGAGGAUUGACUGUACCACUGGAGGAAGCCCCGGCUAACUCCGUGCCAGCAGCCGCGGUAAUACGGAGGGGGCAAGCGUUGUUCGGAAUUAUUGGGCGUAAAGGGCGCGUAGGCGGCCAUGCAAGUCGGUUGUGAAAUCCCUUGGCUCAACCAAGGAACUGCGUCCGAAACUGCAUGGCUCGAGUCCGGGAGAGGGUAGUGGAAUUCCCAGUGUAGCGGUGAAAUGCGUAGAUAUUGGGAGGAACACCGGUGGCGAAGGCGGCUACCUGGACCGGUACUGACGCUGAGGCGCGAAAGCUAGGGGAGCAAACAGGAUUAGAUACCCUAGUAGUCC